CCUACGGGAGGCAGCAGUGAGGAAUAUUGGUCAAUGGGCGCGAGCCUGAACCAGCCAAGUAGCGUGAAGGAUGACUGCCCUACGGGUUGUAAACUUCUUUUAUAAAGGAAUAAAGUGAGGCACGUGUGCCUUUUUGUAUGUACUUUAUGAAUAAGGAUCGGCGAACUCCGUGCCAGCAGCCGCGGUAAUACGGAGGAUCCGAGCGUUAUCCGGAUUUAUUGGGUUUAAAGGGAGCGUAGAUGGGUUGUUAAGUCAGUUGUGAAAGUUUGCGGCUCAACCGUAAAAUUGCAAUUGAUACUGGCAGCCUUGAGUACAGUUGAGGUAGGCGGAAUUCGUGGUGUAGCGGUGAAAUGCUUAGAUAUCACGAAGAACUCCGAUUGCGAAGGCAGCUUACUAAACUGCCACUGACAUUGAUGCUCGAAAGUGUGGGUAUCGAACAGGAUUAGAUACCCUUGUAGUC
This 460-nucleotide ribosomal RNA is filed under the name uncultured bacterium. Its description in RNAcentral is "partial 16S ribosomal RNA". It matches the Rfam family "Bacterial small subunit ribosomal RNA", at positions 338 to 795 of the family's 1533-position model. The record is from RNAcentral.